UGGGAGUGGGAAAGAGGUGGCAUCGGCGGUUCAAGACUGAGUUUUCUAUCUCUUCAGUGCCUCUUUCAACAAUGAAGAUCAAACCAGGUUUUGUGCAAAUAUCUGCUGAGUGAACUACUUAUUUGAAAAUACAUCAUUGGUUAAUAUUCCCUUUUGCUCAUUGAAAUCUCAAAGACUACAGACCCCGCACAAGACAUUCUGACAUUCCCGUCUUUGAAAUGAAUGACAGCAAUGAUAAAUAUGGCUCACCUCCAGAGAUACAGAUCUCACAACUUCAUAUUUUUAAUAUAAAUUAUUAAUCUGAGUUUCCAGAAGCAGAGAGAGAUAAGACCCAUGAUAAUCAAGCCAUAAACAGAUGCAUUUACUAGCUGAAUGGCCAACAAUGGAAUUCAACAAAUCCAUCUUGAGCACGGCAGCCAGGAGUGUGGUGCAAUUCCAUUAGAUGAAAGAGAUCUACACAUUCAGAAGCACAUGAUUCUUCCCCCUUCCAUGAUUCCAGUGGCCAAUAGACAAACUACAAUAAAGCCAUGCCCUGACUGGAUGUGCCUAACAUUUGUCUGGUGCUUAAAGGAGUUGGCUGCAUGCGUGGGAUGGAGAAGGAUUCAACAUUUAAUGGCAGUUAGAAUCAAAUUUUUAACUCAAGAAGGCAGAAGGAAUCCACCUAAAUAAAUGUUGGAAAGUCACCAAAAAUAGUUCUCCAAGUCAGAAGCGGUGCAAAAGCUGCCUCAGCUCUUGGUGGAUUUUCAAUUUCUCCCAGCCAUCUCUGUUUCGCUAAAGGUUUCUGAAGACAGUGGGGGAAGCUUUUUUCUCCUCCCCAUCCUGAUCACUAGUAUGAGAAGGGGUGCUAAUGGACCAGCCUUGGCCUUGCAGAUGAAGAUGAUGAAGGAAGAAGAUGUAUAAAGAACCUCUGAAAGAGUCCCAGUUUUACAUUUCAAAGUCUUUUUCCUUCUGUUGUUUAUUGUGUUGGGUUGGAGUGGAGGAUAUUUGAUGGAGAAUUGAUUCUGAAACUUGCCAAAAUAUGGAUAAUACUUUGCUCCUUUUCCAUUGUGGGUUAUCACAAAGAAGAGUUUCACUUUUAGUCAUCUAUUUACAGUCUAGAAACAGGAACAAACCCAAACCAAGCAGAAAAACAGAAAUAACCAAGAUCAAAACGGAACUAAAUGAAAUUGAAAUGAAAAAGUACAAAGAUAAAUGAAACAAAAACCUGGUUUAUUGAAAAGUUAAAUAAAAUUGAUAAUUCAAUGGUUUUC
Long non-coding RNA from Homo sapiens (human), 1250 nucleotides. Ensembl annotates it as long intergenic non-protein coding RNA 1192. The record is from Ensembl. Lineage: Eukaryota; Metazoa; Chordata; Mammalia; Primates; Hominidae.